This is a non-coding RNA of Cinara cedri, 513 nucleotides long. The record is from the annotation of a GenBank genome assembly. NCBI's taxonomy places the organism in Eukaryota, Metazoa, Arthropoda, Insecta, Hemiptera, Aphididae.
CUUAACUUUAAACUAAUAUAAGUAGAUGUAAAAAAAUAUAUUAUUAAAGAAAAUAUAUUGAGCAUAUUUAAUUAUUUUAUUAUAAUAUGGCAUAUAUAUUGUUAAUAAAGCAUCACUAUCUACCGAACUCCGCUUAGAAUCCUUUUUUUUUGUAAGUAAUGGUUUAUCAUUGCUUAUAGGUAUAUAUUAAAUUAUCUAUAACAGUGGCUGCUCCUAUCCCCAUUAUCAUAAAAGAUUAUAUAUCCCCAAUAUAACAAUUUAAGAAAUAAGCAUCUCGUAAUUUAACAUUUACAAACUAAUAAAAUAAUAAAUUAAUCAAUGCGUCUCCUGGAGUAUUAUGAUAAGUGUAUAAUAACUGGUUUCAAAUUAAAAAUGCAUCAUCAGGUAUAUCACAGUCAAAGUAUAAAACUGGACUGAAUAUAAAAAAACUAAAUGAAGGAAUACAUAGCAAAAAAUAAUUUACAAAUUGGUCGUUUUACAUAAAAUAUAGAAAUAAGUUAUUUUAAAAGGAGA